RNAcentral lists this ribosomal RNA (301 nucleotides) under uncultured bacterium. RNAcentral's name for it is "partial 16S ribosomal RNA". It matches the Rfam family "Bacterial small subunit ribosomal RNA", at positions 509 to 809 of the family's 1533-position model. The record is from RNAcentral.
CAGCAGCCGCGGGAACACGAAGGGUGCAAGCGUUAAUCGGAAUUACUGGGCGUAAAGCGUGCGUAGGCGGUGAGUUAAGUCUGCUGUGAAAUCCCCGGGCUCAACCUGGGAAUGGCAGUGGAUACUGGCUCGCUAGAGUGUGUCAGAGGAUGGUGGAAUUCCCGGUGUAGCGGUGAAAUGCGUAGAGAUCGGGAGGAACAUCAGUGGCGAAGGUGGCCAUCUGGGACAACACUGACGCUGAGGCACGAAAGCGUGGGGAGCAAACAGGAUUAGAUACCCCUGUAGUCCCUGUCUCUUAUAA